AACGAACGCUGGCGGCAGGCUUAACACAUGCAAGUCGAACGGGCGUAGCAAUACGUCAGUGGCGGACGGGUGAGUAACACGUGGGAAUAUGCCUUUCGGUUCGGAACAACUCGGGGAAACCCGUGCUAAUUCCGGAUACGCCCUUACGGGGAAAGAUUUAUCGCCGAAAGAUUAGCCCGCGUUGGAUUAGCUAGUUGGUGAGGUAAAGGCUCACCAAGGCGACGAUCCAUAGCUGGUUUGAGAGAACGACCAGCCACACUGGGACUGAGACACGGCCCAGACUCCUACGGGAGGCAGCAGUGGGGAAUCUUGGACAAUGGAGGAAACUCUGAUCCAGCCAUGCCGCGUGAGUGAAUGAAGG
RNAcentral lists this ribosomal RNA (361 nucleotides) under uncultured bacterium. Its description in RNAcentral is "bacterial SSU rRNA". It matches the Rfam family "Bacterial small subunit ribosomal RNA", at positions 29 to 414 of the family's 1533-position model. The record is from RNAcentral.